This 470-nucleotide ribosomal RNA is filed under the name uncultured bacterium. RNAcentral describes it as "partial 16S ribosomal RNA". It matches the Rfam family "Bacterial small subunit ribosomal RNA", at positions 329 to 795 of the family's 1533-position model. The record is from RNAcentral.
UCCCAGACUCCUACGGGAGGCAGCAGUGAGGAAUAUUGGUCAGUGGGCUUACGCCUGAACCAGCCAAGUCGCGUGAGGGAAGACUGCCCUAUGGGUUGUAAACCUCUUUUGUCAGGGAGCAAUUGGCGCUACGUGUAGCGUUAUCGAGAGUACCUGAAGAAAAAGCAUCGGCUAACUCCGUGCCAGCAGCCGCGGUAAUACGGAGGAUGCGAGCGUUAUCCGGAUUUAUUGGGUUUAAAGGGUGCGUAGGCGGCGCUUCAGGUCAGCGGUGAAAUACCGGGGCUCAACCCCGGGGCUGCCGUUGAAACCGGAGCGCUAGAAUUCCGAUGCCGUCGGAGGAAUGUGUGGUGUAGCGGUGAAAUGCAUAGAUAUCACACAGAACACCGAUUGCGAAGGCAUCUGACGAAUCGGAGAUUGACGCUGAUGCACGAAAGCGUGGGUAUCGAACAGGAUUAGAUACCCUUGUAAUA